Molecule: ribosomal RNA, 253 nt
Filed under: uncultured Oscillospira sp.
Lineage: Bacteria; Bacillati; Bacillota; Clostridia; Eubacteriales; Oscillospiraceae
Description: partial 16S ribosomal RNA
Rfam family: Bacterial small subunit ribosomal RNA
Source: RNAcentral
UACGUAGGUGGCAAGCGUUAUCCGGAUUUAUUGGGUGUAAAGGGCGUGUAGGCGGGAAAGCAAGUCAGAUGUGAAAUCCACGGGCUCAACCCGUGAACUGCAUUUGAAACUGUUUCCCUUGAGUGUCGGAGAGGUAAUCGGAAUUCCUAGUGUAGCGGUGAAAUGCGUAGAUAUUAGGAAGAACACCAGUGGCGAAGGCGGAUUACUGGACGAUAACUGACGGUGAGGCGCGAAAGCGUGGGGAGCAAACAGG